RNAcentral lists this ribosomal RNA (431 nucleotides) under uncultured bacterium. Its description in RNAcentral is "partial 16S ribosomal RNA". It matches the Rfam family "Bacterial small subunit ribosomal RNA", at positions 29 to 507 of the family's 1533-position model. The record is from RNAcentral.
AACGAACGCUGGCGGCAGGCUUAACACAUGCAAGUCGAGCGCCUCGCAAGAGGAGCGGCAGACGGGUGAGUAACGCGUGGGAACGUACCCUUAUCUUCGGAAUAGCUAUGGGAAACUGGGAGUAAUACCGAAUGUGCCCUUAGGGGGAAAGAUUUAUCGGAUAAGGAUCGGCCCGCGUUGGAUUAGCUAGUUGGUGGGGUAAAUGCCUACCAAGGCGACGAUCCAUAGCUGGUCUGAGAGGAUGAUCAGCCACAUUGGGACUGAGACACGGCCCAAACUCCUACGGGAGGCAGCAGUGGGGAAUAUUGGACAAUGGGCGCAAGCCUGAUCCAGCCAUGCCGCGUGAGUGAUGAAGGCCUUAGGGUUGUAAAGCUCUUUCACCGGAGAAGAUAAUGACGGUAUCCGGAGAAGAAGCCCCGGCUAACUUCGUG